GUGCUCGCUUGGGCAGCACAUAUACUAAAAUUGGAAUGAUACAGAAAAGAUUAGCAAGGCCCCCUGAUUAGCAAGGAUGACAGGCAAAUCCAUGAAGCAUUCCAUGAACAC
Molecule: small nuclear RNA, 111 nt
Organism: Marmota marmota marmota (Alpine marmot)
Lineage: Eukaryota; Metazoa; Chordata; Mammalia; Rodentia; Sciuridae
Source: Ensembl